Unclassified non-coding RNA from Megachile rotundata (alfalfa leafcutting bee), 2687 nucleotides. NCBI's taxonomy places the organism in Eukaryota, Metazoa, Arthropoda, Insecta, Hymenoptera, Megachilidae. The record is from RefSeq and is a predicted model, not a curated record.
GUUUGAUAGUCACAAUGAACAUCCGCUUUUCGUCCCGUAUUGGUUAUUCAAUUAAAUGUUUCCCGCGUUAAUUUGAACUUAUAUCAUAUUUUAUGAUGCGUUAGACAGAUGGAUCAAAUAAGUUUACAAAAAUUGAUUUCAUUAACUGAGUCUUGAACUAUUAUUUCUAACAAUAUGUUAAGGUUUGUUUUAUUACUUAAAAAUAUGAUUUUUACGUCAGAAAGAAAAAAAACGCGGGCUGAUAAACAUCAUCUGUGUUCCGGUGUUUGUUCCGGUAUUUGGAUUGGUCAAGCCAAGGCCGACUGCUCACGGAAUGAUCCGAACACUGAACUUUCAAACGUGUUUAUCAAUAUGGCGUGCCGAUGUUUGAAUUUGAUCGUUACUUGUUAGCACAUUAGAAAAGUUUGAGAAACACUUGUAAAGUUUUAUUAUUUACAGACAAAAUUGAUUGCUACUGUUUCAAAGAAAAUAUUGACUAAGGUAGUUUUUACGACGUGUAGUUAAUAUGGAGAAUUUCGUGAAGAUUGAGAAGAUCGGCGAAGGUACUUAUGGAGUGGUGUAUAAAGGAAAGCAUAAGAAAACAGGAGAAAUUGUAGCUAUGAAAAAGAUUCGUUUAGAAAGCGAUGAAGAAGGUAUGCCAUCAACAGCAAUUCGUGAGAUUUCAUUGCUUAAAGAACUACCACAUCCAAAUAUUGUUAGGCUGAUGGAUGUAUUAAUGGAAGAAACUAGAUUGUAUCUUAUUUUUGAGUAUCUCACUAUGGAUUUAAAAAAAUAUAUGGAUAGUUUAGAGAGUGGCAAAUUAAUGGAACCAAAAAUGGUUAAAUCUUACUUAUAUCAGAUCACAAGUGCUAUUCUUUUCUGUCAUAAACGAAGAAUCUUGCAUCGUGAUUUGAAACCUCAAAAUUUAUUGAUUGAUAAAUCAGGGGUGAUAAAAGUAGCUGAUUUUGGUCUUGGCAGAGCUUUUGGUAUCCCAGUCAGGGUCUAUACACAUGAAGUAGUUACUUUGUGGUAUAGAGCUCCAGAAAUCCUUCUUGGUGCCAGUAGAUAUUCGUGCGCUAUUGAUAUCUGGAGUAUAGGUUGCAUAUUUGCAGAAAUGGCAACAAAGAAACCACUAUUUCAAGGAGAUAGUGAAAUUGAUCAAUUAUUCAGAAUAUUUCGGAUACUAAGGACACCCACUGAAGAAAUAUGGCCUGGUGUGUCACAGUUAUCUGAUUAUAAGGCCACCUUUCCAAAUUGGAUUACUAAUAAUUUGGAAUCACAAGUUAAAACAUUAGAUACAGAUGGGCUUGAUCUUUUGCAAGCAAUGCUUGUCUAUGAUCCAGUACACAGAAUAUCAGCACGAGCCGCUUUAAAACAUCCUUAUUUUAAUGAUUUAGAUACCUCGAAAUUACCGCCAGCAUAAAGUGAAAAAACUACUGAAAAUGGUAAAUGUAUGUUUCUCAGAAACUUGUGGCGUUUUAAUUGUGUGAACAUAUAGAGAGUAUGUCUUAGUGUGUAUCAGAAAACUAAUUUAUUUAUAUGUAAGAACUCAUUUAAGUUUCUCUUUUAUGACAUUACUCAUUUCAUGUUAGAAAGUUGCAUAUUGUAAUGAUAUUUAAUUUUGACAUUACAUAUAAAGUUUGUUAACUGAACUAUGUUAUAAAACUUACACUAACAUGUUUGAGCAAAAAAUGUGCUGUAGUAGAUGGAUACUUCAGCAAUUUAUCUUUGCAACAUAAAAAAAGCAAAUUGAUGAAUAAGGUAGUAUAACAAUAUUAUGUACUCCUUAGUAUUUAGUUUAACUUACUCUUUAUGGUUAUGAUAUACCAAUUUAAAUCAAAAUGUGAAAUUAUAAAUAUCUUUAGUUGUCUUGCUACGGAUGAAAUAAAAAAAAUUAUAUUUUUAUUAUUUAUAAUGUAUUAUUAGAGCUGCGUUUUUGACAAAGGCAGCAUAUUUGGAAAUAUUAAUAAUUCAGCUUUGGCUACACCGUUACUGCCAUGUGUACAUAUCAUUGAAAAAUUCACACGCUUACUAAAAUAUAUAUAUCUUUUGUAUUUUUAUUAUCAAAUAAACGAUGAUAUCAUUUAAAAGUUCAGUACUUUCACUAGGACUUUAAUAACAUUAGACAGUACACAUUUGUACCGCUGUUUUUCCGCAGUGUGACGUCGUCUUUUAUCUUGUAACGUGUAAAUUAAGUUACAUUACUACGGAGAAACGAAAAGAAACGAAACCGUACGUGGUAUUACAGCGAUUCUCAGAAUGAUCAACUUGAUUCACUUAUGGAUGACUCAUGUACAGCAAUGUAACGACAUUGUGUGGUACCCGCAUCUUUCAAAAAAACACAAGAAAUAGUUUUAGUGAAAAUACUUGUACAAAAUUUAGAAAAUAAUGCGUUUCACAUACUGCACGGCUAACAAGAAUGAAGUGCAAUUAUAAUGGAAGAAUAAAAUUGGAGAACUUAAAAUAAAUUAUCAUUGUAACAAAAGAAUCAAUAUUCUAAUUAUAGUGCAACACAGAAAAUUAUUUUGUACAUAAGUAAAGAAUUUCUUUUAAUUUUUGAGGAGAACAUGUUGGAUCACCGCACGUAGUCCAUUCAAAGCGUGCGUGACCUAUAAUUGGAUUCAGAGUGGGGUAUGUCUCAUAAAAUCCUUCUCCAUUGAAUCCACUGUUUACAGUACCAGUUAAGAGACUGACAACAUCACUUCACG